CGGCUUUUAUCGUUUUAUGUUGUGCAGAUUCUUAGUUCACCGUAAAUAUCUCUUGAUUUGUACUCAAGAGUGGAGCAAGGCCCCAAGGAACAGAGAUUGACGCAACGGGAGCGAAGAACAGAAGCGAUGGAUGGUUACGCUGGUUGACUCUCGGCAUGUUCAAAAUGGCGAAGUUCCGAAUUUGUCGCUGUGUGACGUGCGCGUGUGUGGUCGUGGUGUGCCGUCAUAGCGCGGGGAUAUUUGUGCUGAAUGUGUUUCACUUCGUCUACAAAACUCUGCACGCAAUGGCAUCGAAGAAGUCGUGUGUUCAGGUGCACGUAUGUGCAUGCUUGGAUACGGAAAGCCUGCCCUCAACGGUAGCGCUAAGCUCAGCCGUGUUGGCUCAGCGCUACCCCCUUCAACGGAUGUUCGUCUACGUGCUCGUAACUUGCUCACGAGACCUCCUUGCUGUUGCAACUCUGAGGAAAAUUGCUUCAAAUGGGAAGGAACAACCAGCACUGCCAGCGCUAUUUGUACAUGAACCUCCUUGCUGUUGCAACUCUGAGGACAAUUGCUUCAAAUGGGAAGGAACCAGCAGUGCCAGC
Molecule: long non-coding RNA, 584 nt
Organism: Dermacentor silvarum
Lineage: Eukaryota; Metazoa; Arthropoda; Arachnida; Ixodida; Ixodidae
Exons: 3
Source: RefSeq, a predicted model, not a curated record